UCCCGCUUAGCUCAGUUGGUAGAGCGCGUCACUAGUACACCGCGUGUCUUGUAUGGCACUCGAGGUGAUGACGAGGUCAGUCGUUCAAGUCGGCUAGUGGGAA
Non-coding RNA from Trametes coccinea BRFM310, 103 nucleotides. NCBI's taxonomy places the organism in Eukaryota, Fungi, Basidiomycota, Agaricomycetes, Polyporales, Polyporaceae. The record is from the annotation of a GenBank genome assembly.